CCUACGGGAGGCAGCAGUGGGGAAUAGUGCACAAUGGGGGAAACCCUGAUGCAGCAACGCCGCGUGAGUGAAGAAGGAUUUCGGGAGGUAAAGCUCUAUCAGCAGGGAAGAAGAUGACGGUACCUGAGUAAGAAGCCCCGGCUAACUACGUGCCAGCAGCCGCGGUAAUACGUAGGGGGCAAGCGUGAUCCGGAUUUACUGGGUGUACAGGGAGCGUAGACGGUGCGACCAGUCUGAAGUGAAAGCCCGGGGCUCAACCCCGGGACUGCUUUGGAAACUGCCUGACUGGAGUGCUGGAGAGGCAAGCGGCCUUCCUCGUGUAGCGGUGACAUGCGUAGAUAUUAGGAAGCACCCCAGUGGCGAAGGCGGCUUGCUGGACAGUACCUGCCGUUGCGGCUC
This 399-nucleotide ribosomal RNA is filed under the name uncultured bacterium. RNAcentral describes it as "partial 16S ribosomal RNA". It matches the Rfam family "Bacterial small subunit ribosomal RNA", at positions 338 to 754 of the family's 1533-position model. The record is from RNAcentral.